Non-coding RNA from Acanthosepion pharaonis, 97 nucleotides. NCBI's taxonomy places the organism in Eukaryota, Metazoa, Mollusca, Cephalopoda, Sepiida, Sepiidae. The record is from the annotation of a GenBank genome assembly.
UUGAAAUACUGGUUCAAGUACGAUCACCGAAGUUAAGCAACGUUGAGCCUGGUCAGUAUCUAGACGGGUGACCACUUGGGAAUACCAGGUGUCGUAA